This 270-nucleotide ribosomal RNA is filed under the name uncultured archaeon. RNAcentral describes it as "partial 16S ribosomal RNA". It matches the Rfam family "Archaeal small subunit ribosomal RNA", at positions 477 to 747 of the family's 1478-position model. The record is from RNAcentral.
CUGCAGCCCGAGUGGUGAUCGAUUUUAUUGAGCCUAAAGCGUCCGUAGCCGGUCUAGUAAACUCUUGGGUAAAUUGGGCAGCUUAACUGUCCAAAUUCCGAGAGGACUGCUAGACUUGGGACCGGGAGAGGUCAGAGGUACUCCAGGGGUAGGGGCUAAAUCCUGUAAUCCUUGGGGGACCACCAGUGGCGAAGGCGUCUGACUAGAACGGAUCCGACGGUAAGGGACGAAACCCUGGGGCGCAAACCGGAUUAGAUACCCGAGUAGUCC